UGUAGACGGAGUUUUACCAGCCGGGAAGAUCAAAUCUGCCGUGGUUUUGGACCAUAAGUAGGUGCUGCUAGGGUCGGCACCGACCUGUUUUUAAGUUUAAAAGGUGGAGGGAUGAGGCUUGAUGUCUGAAGUCUGCUGCCUUUUUCUAGGACCUGAGGUAAGAACUCCAUGUAAAUCCACCCAGUAUUCUCUUGUUAUUGGGUGGGGUAUUUGAAUCGAAGACCAAUUAUGCUGUAGUUAAAUCCCAUUUACGAAGACAAUAAAACUACAUUUAUGGAUGAUUAGACUAAUCAAGCGGCUCAUUCGCCCCAUGUAACUAAUCUGUACGAUGUGAACUGAUGUCCACUUUGAAAAUAUCACAAACAGGCAUAUUUCUUGUGUAGUUUUGAAUAUGGGGGGGGGAGAGCUCUUCAGAAUCUUUGGUAGGAUGCUGCUUAACUCGGGUUAUGUUCCUGUACUAGUUGAAUGUUUACUGUAUAAUCAUUCUGUAAUUCUGAUCCGUGUUUUAAUAAAGUAUAAAUCAAA
Molecule: long non-coding RNA, 525 nt
Organism: Brienomyrus brachyistius
Lineage: Eukaryota; Metazoa; Chordata; Actinopteri; Osteoglossiformes; Mormyridae
Exons: 2
Source: RefSeq, a predicted model, not a curated record